This 406-nucleotide ribosomal RNA is filed under the name uncultured bacterium. Its description in RNAcentral is "partial 16S ribosomal RNA". It matches the Rfam family "Bacterial small subunit ribosomal RNA", at positions 30 to 526 of the family's 1533-position model. The record is from RNAcentral.
AUUGAACGCUGGCGGCAGGCCUAACACCUGCAAGUCGAACGAGUGGCGGACGGGUGAGUAAUGUCUGGGAAACUGCCCGAUGGAGGGGGAUAACUACUGGAAACGGUAGCUAAUACCGCAUACCAUCGGAUGUGCCCAGAUGGGAUUAGCUAGUAGGUUGGGUAACGGCUCACCUAGGCGACGAUCCCUAGCUGGUCUGAGAGGAUGACCAGCAACACUGGAACUGAGACACGGUCCAGACUCCUACGGGAGGCAGCAGUGGGGAAUAUGGCACAAUGGGCGCAAGCCUGAUGCAGCCAUGCCGCGUGUAGGAAGAAGGCCUUCGGGUUGUAAAGUACGUUCAGCGAGGAGGCGUUACUCGCAGAAGAAGCACCGGCUAACUCCGUGCCAGCAGCCGCGGUAAUAC